RNAcentral lists this unclassified non-coding RNA (843 nucleotides) under Bradyrhizobium sp. RNAcentral's name for it is "partial 16S-23S ribosomal RNA intergenic spacer". The stretch from base 723 to 843 matches the Rfam family "Bacterial large subunit ribosomal RNA", at positions 1 to 121 of the family's 2925-position model. The record is from RNAcentral. Lineage: Bacteria; Pseudomonadati; Pseudomonadota; Alphaproteobacteria; Hyphomicrobiales; Nitrobacteraceae.
UCGGAUCGUUUUAGAAACAUCAGUGGCCAACAGAUCGCCAGAUCGUUGAGCUGCAUUGGCGGGAUUUCGCCGUCUUCGUUUCUCUUUCUUCGCGGACGAACACGCGCUGGGCCUGCAACGGCAGGAUCCAGGGUCCUUAACGGGAUGUGCGUUAGGGGCUUGUAGCUCAGUUGGUUAGAGCGCGCGCUUGAUAAGCGUGAGGUCGGAAGUUCAAGUCUUCCCAGGCCCACCACUUUCAUCGAGUGAGCAUUCGUCUUCUGGUUACGGGGCCAUAGCUCAGCUGGGAGAGCGCGUGCUUUGCAAGCAUGAGGUCGUCGGUUCGAUCCCGUCUGGCUCCACCAGAUGGUUUGAUCACCGAGAUCUUGACCGUCGUCCGCGAAACAUCACUUCGCAUCCUGCUAGUCUGGAUAGACAGCAGUUUGCGUGUUUUCUGACAUCGUAAAGAGGAGAUCGAUCCGAGUUGGGUCGUGCAGCAUAUCGUUGCGCGAGCCUUCAUUAUCUCCGGAUCAUUUCGGCGCUCGCUUCCAGCCGUGAGGUUGGAUGCGGGUUGUAAAUGAUCCUUUUAGCGAAGCUUGACCGCCUCGCUAUCGGAACGAUCUUACGAAGCAAGCUGGUCUUUCUAGUCAAUGUCCGGCUGCGGAUAGCGUUCAUCGAGGGCGCGUGCCGCAAGGCAAUUCUGCAGACAACAUUCUGCCGAGUGUGUGGACAUUGAUAAUGAGAGCAAUCAAGUGCCUUAAGGGUGUUCGGUGGAUGCCUUGGCGCUGAGAGGCGAUGAAGGACGUGCUACGCUGCGAUAAGCCGUGGGGAGCUGCGAAGAAGCUUUGAUCCGCGGAUUUCCGAUGG